UUCCUCGUCCUUAUGACGGCGACUCGAGGUAGGAGAUGAUUGGUCAAGAGAGCCCUGUGACUGUUGGUUUUUCUGAAGUUCACCACUAGCUUGAUCAUAACGCUCAGCCAAAGCGCGGUACAUGCGGUAAAACUCCUCCACAAGGUGGAUUAACUCGGGACGCUUCUGGUAAUACAUCUGAGCUUUCUUGGCAAAAGAGUCUGCGUCUUCUUCAAUCAACUUCAACAUGUGUUUCACACGGUCAUCCAUCUCUGAGAAUCCAUAACAAUAACAAGUUCAAUACAUUAAUUGGACAUAGAUCUUAAUGGUAAGUAAGGCAACAUACUCUCUAGAUUCUCUGCAAGCCACUUUGAGUUCUUGGGACAAUUGUGACUGUCCCACCACCAUGAGUGUGAUUUUUUGGUCGUAGACCUCUUAAACUGCUUCUUGCUAAGUGCCUGAAAAAAAAGAAAAAAAGAAAAAGUAAGUCUUAGGACCAGAGACCAAACACAAGGACCAAGUCAACAUAAUGGUUUCUUACCGCAGACGAGGCCAUGACUUUGAGGGGUGUAGAGAAUCUUAGAAACCCCUACAAGAAAAUUAAAGAUUGUCAGUUAAUGUUAAGAGACUUGAGUGUCCCUUGAAGAUUUGCUUGAGUUUAUCGAAACAAGUGGGACAAAACAGAUGAGAUGAGAUAAGAGGAAGAAGAUAGGAUUGUGCAUGCGGCAAAGGAGACACGUGAAGCUUUAACAACCCAUUGUGGCAUUUGCGCAAUUUUCAAGAAGUCCAAAGAUUCUCAGCUUUUACCAGCAUUUUAUAUACCAGAGUAAUCGAUGAAACUAAUAACUGCAUACUCCUUCCGUUCUUAUGUAUGUUUUAAAAAAAAAAAUUAUUUCAAAAAAAAUACAUUUUUUACUUUUUCAAUAUAUGAUUUUAUGAAAUAUCGUAAGUUUCAAAAAAUUAAUGAUAUUUAUUAAAUUUCUAUUCACUAAAAGUUAUGAAAAAAAUUUAUUCAAAAAAAACAAUGCAUAUUUAAUAAAUUUUCAUAAUAUAUGUAAAAAAUUUAGAAUAUGCAUCUAUGUUUUUAGUAUUAAAAAAAGAAGAAGAGACAAAAAGUUUCUUCUUUUUUGAAAUAAAAGAGACAAAAAAUUGUAGGAGGAUAAAAGCUUACUUUACACAAAUGCAGAAGAACAGAGAGUUUAUGAUUGAGAAUGCUCAUAGAAUGGUCUUCAUAAAGCCCUUUAUAUCUGCCUUGAAGAUGAUUAAUCUAAUCAUAAACUAAUCAUCUUUGUCUCACCUUCCCUAAAUAAAAUAUUAUUAAGUAAUAUCAACAAGGAUCACAUGAAUCUUGAAAAUUCGUAUACGCGGCUCUGAAAGUGUGAAUACGCUUUCUCUACACGUCACAGCAUCUCACCUGCUUAUUUUAAUUUUCUUAAAGUCUUCUUUGUUUUAGAAAAAAGAAAGACUCAAUGAUUGUGACAGUGUAGUCGUUGUGAUUAAUGGCGGAUCGAUCUGCAACGCCCAAAAUUUUGCAUGUGGCGUCGUUGUGAUUAGACAGAGAGAGAGAGAGAUAUGAAACUUAUUUCUUCUGACAUAUUUAACCAAACCUUCAACAAACUUUGAAACAUGAAAUAUUAUGUAAUAGCUUGUGUAUUAUUGAUGAUCAAGGUAAAGUAUAUAUACAACCGUAAUGCCUUAAGAUAAUAGGAGAUCAACAUAAUCUCCAUAGAACUAGGAACGUAUAGUUAUCCUUAUCCUAAUACUCCCCCUCAAGUUGGCAGUGAAAUGUCUUGAAUGCCUAACUUGAAAAGAAGAUACUGAAAAGUAGGCGUAGGCUAAUAAAUUAUGAUCCUAAUAAAUUUACAAGCUAGCUAAGUUGAUGGUGAAUGAUAUUAAGGAUAAUCAUCAAUCAAGACAUGUGAUCCAUAUUGAUUAUUCACUAUGAUUCCUCUAAUUAUGUUAUUUAUCCUAUCAUUAUCCUUGCAGUAUCAUCUUAUAAUUACUUAGGAUUUUCAUCUUUAUAUGUAUGUGCUCUAAAGAUAUAAUGCAAUACAACACAGUAUUCCAUGAAAGAUAGCCAUAAUCAACUAACCAAUAGUGGUAAUGGUAAACAAACUUUAGAUUGCUAAACAACCUAAAUCCGAAAGCAUUUCUUACCCUUCAUUGUGUGGUCACAUGUAUAUAGACGCAUUGCUUACAUUUUAUACAAACAUCCAAAGAAAAAAAAAAUUAUCUGUCGGUUACAUUUUCCCUUGGAAAUUAGUUCUUUCUAUAGGUUUGGGAUACCUAGAUUUAAAAAAAAUAGCCAUAAACUAAAACAUAAACUUUGAUGAAUCAAACGCGUAGUGAGCAACGAAGAGAAUAAUUAUAUUCCUGCUACAGAAUUGACUACUCUUUUUUGACAAAAUAUUUGACUAAUCUGUCGGGUUUAUUAAAGAAAUGUUAUAGUUUACUAUAGACGAUUGAAGAUUUUGAAUUUGGUAUACAAAACUAAUAUAUGUACGAAAUAAGAUUGAAAUUUUAUAUUCAUGAGAUAAAUAGAAGGAGUCAUAGUUUGGAAACAUCUAAUGCUAUGCGAUAGUUCUAAUGAGAAAAUAGAUCAUCGAUCUUUAUUUUGAAAAAAGAAGUAGCAGUGGACGUUAAAAUAAACGCGAAGCACAGUUCAAUGUCAAUGGAGUCAAUUUGGCAACAACCCACCGUAUUGACUUCAAAAAAGAAAUGAUCGAUCGCCUAUCUCAUAUGUAUUUUUUAAAACAAUACAAAAUGAUAAUAAUAGAAAGAGACACAAUACCACCAGACGUGGUUGCGCAGAAAAGAGUGGCCCCUGCAUCUUUAGUUUCCUCUUUAACCAAAUCAAGACUCUCUUGCUCAACACCAAGUUGAGUUUCUGCUUCAGAGGAAAUGCAACUCUUAAGCUCAAUCUUCAGAUUAGCGAUCUCUUUUUCUUGCAUUCGAAUCUUUACAUUAGCUUCUUUAAGCUCUCCUUCAUAUACAGUAAUUUUCUGAAGGAGAUCAGUGUUGUUGUCACCAUUAAGACGUUCCUGCUGUAGAUGGAGUUUCUCUUUAGUUUCUUGAAGCUCAAGUUCUAGAUCAGCCAUCCUACGGAUCAAUGCCUCGUCACCAUCUUCAUCAUUAACAGAGGAAUGAUCAGGAACCGAUUUAGAGUCAGAAUCAGAAUCAGACAGAGAUGAUGAGUCUUCCUCUUCCUUAUGAGGGUGACUCGAUUUCUCUUGGGAAUUAGUAGGAGAUGAUUUCUCAAGAGAGCCCUGUGACUGUAUCCCAGAGAGAUGAAUUUUCUGAAGUUCACCACUAGCUUGAUCAUAACGCUCAGCCAAAGCGCGAUACAUGCGGUAAAACUCCUCCACAAGGUGGAUUAACUCGGGACGCUUCUGGUAAUACAUCUGAGCUUUCUUGGCAAAAGAGUCUGCGUCUUCUUCAAUCAACU
RNAcentral lists this long non-coding RNA (3424 nucleotides) under Brassica rapa (field mustard). RNAcentral's name for it is "long non-coding RNA (BRAP_LNC001828)". Lineage: Eukaryota; Viridiplantae; Streptophyta; Magnoliopsida; Brassicales; Brassicaceae. The record is from RNAcentral.